This 489-nucleotide ribosomal RNA is filed under the name Pseudomonas aeruginosa. RNAcentral's name for it is "bacterial SSU rRNA". It matches the Rfam family "Bacterial small subunit ribosomal RNA", at positions 11 to 495 of the family's 1533-position model. Lineage: Bacteria; Pseudomonadati; Pseudomonadota; Gammaproteobacteria; Pseudomonadales; Pseudomonadaceae. The record is from RNAcentral.
GUUUGAUUCAUGGCUCAGAUUGAACGCUGGCGGCAGGCCUAACACAUGCAAGUCGAGCGGAUGAAGGGAGCUUGCUCCUGGAUUCAGCGGCGGACGGGUGAGUAAUGCCUAGGAAUCUGCCUGGUAGUGGGGGAUAACGUCCGGAAACGGGCGCUAAUACCGCAUACGUCCUGAGGGAGAAAGUGGGGGAUCUUCGGACCUCACGCUAUCAGAUGAGCCUAGGUCGGAUUAGCUAGUUGGUGGGGUAAAGGCCUACCAAGGCGACGAUCCGUAACUGGUCUGAGAGGAUGAUCAGUCACACUGGAACUGAGACACGGUCCAGACUCCUACGGGAGGCAGCAGUGGGGAAUAUUGGACAAUGGGCGAAAGCCUGAUCCAGCCAUGCCGCGUGUGUGAAGAAGGUCUUCGGAUUGUAAAGCACUUUAAGUUGGGAGGAAGGGCAGUAAGUUAAUACCUUGCUGUUUUGACGUACCAACAGAAUAAGCACCG